AAACACCAUCGUGUUACACAGCCAGCAAACAGUUUACAUGUACACACAAACAUCGUGUUACACAGCCAGCAAACAGUUUACAUGUACACACAAACAUCGUGUUUGUAACCAGGGUAAUUUUUCUAAGUUUUCUAGUUGUUUUUUUUUUCCCCUUCCCUCUCUCUUCAACUGAUUCUGAAAAUUUAAAUUUCAGUUAACAACUUAUAUUUUUAUUGGAGUAUUUCUUUAAUUUUUUUAGAUAAUUAAUUUAAAAAUAGUUUUUUUCCCUUUAACCUUCUGCCACUUGCCAUCCUGWGCAUGAGUUAAGUUCUCAUGAGAUUUCAUCCUAUUAUCGCGAGACUUGUGGCAGAAAUGUUUGUCAGUUCCUCAUUAAACACAGCUGUGGUUGACAACCAGGUUAGGUGUGGGAGCAGAUGCUAUUGUAGCUGCUGCAGGUAGGCUCUAAGGUAUUUCAAUCCCUUUAUUUUAAUGUUUAAAUUAUUGUUUCUGACUGAUAUGCCUCUCAACUUUUAGGUAUUCUCAAUGUCUUGUGCCUAAGCCUUCCAGUGAUAAGUCUAUCAUAAAAAAAGUGGAACUGGCCAGGUUCCUUUUCCAUGUCUGUUUGCUGAGAAGACCAGACUGGAUGGCGAGCUACCUGAGUUUUGAACCCAGAGAACUGUUUUAAAUCCCUUCAUCUCCUCUGUCAAUGUGGAGUGGAACAGCUGAACUUUUGCCCAGCACUAAAGAAAAAGAUAAAACAUUGUUUGGGGAUUUACAAUAACAAA
This is a long non-coding RNA of Austrofundulus limnaeus, 764 nucleotides long. RefSeq lists it as uncharacterized. The record is from RefSeq and is a predicted model, not a curated record. The transcript has 2 exons. Lineage: Eukaryota; Metazoa; Chordata; Actinopteri; Cyprinodontiformes; Rivulidae.